Molecule: long non-coding RNA, 590 nt
Filed under: Vigna radiata
Lineage: Eukaryota; Viridiplantae; Streptophyta; Magnoliopsida; Fabales; Fabaceae
Description: long non-coding RNA (VRAD_LNC015183)
Source: RNAcentral
CGGGGACGUACAGUAAUGUCAUGAACUAGUGAGUAAUUUCUUGAUUCUGCAAUAUCACCUAGGGAUAGGGGUAUGAUGAUCAAUUGUGUUUAACUUCUGCUCUAUAAUGUUGUAUAAUUGCUAGGGGAGGCUAGGGAUAGCAAGUUAGUAGUUAAUAUUAGGCUCUUUUCGUCGAGGGAUCGGGUUAAGGGUAGGCUAAGAAAGUUGCAUGACAAUUAAUUAAUCAAGCUAAUAAUUCAAGAGGAGUAGAUAAGAGAGAGCGGAUAAAGAUGAAAUUGUAAACCCCAACAACUCCAUUCAUCCAUUGUUUUCUUCUUGUCAUUUGAAUCAAUCUCUUUCGCAUGUUAAUAUUUUAUUUUUAUUCUCUUAAUCAAUUUAUAAAUUUUUAUUUUCAAGUCUUAUAAUUUUAAUUCACGUGAACGAGAAAGCCUUUCGAGUCUCUUGGAAAGAACGAUAUUGGGUUUUACCAAUUAUAUUACUUGAACAAUUUUGGUACGCUUGCCAAUUCGUCAACAAGUUUUUGGCGCCGUUGCCGGGGACUCGAGGUUUAUUUUUCUAGUAGUGUGGAUUAAUUGAAUUUGACUUGGUUG